RNAcentral lists this ribosomal RNA (849 nucleotides) under Diatrype mangrovei. Its description in RNAcentral is "Diatrype sp. MD-2019a partial large subunit ribosomal RNA". It matches the Rfam family "Eukaryotic large subunit ribosomal RNA", at positions 61 to 934 of the family's 3401-position model. Lineage: Eukaryota; Fungi; Ascomycota; Sordariomycetes; Xylariales; Diatrypaceae. The record is from RNAcentral.
GAAACCAACAGGGAUUGCCUUAGUAACGGCGAGUGAAGCGGCAACAGCUCAAAUUUGAAAUCUGGCCUUCGGGUCCGAAUUGUAAUUUGUAGAGGAUGCUUUGGGUGCGGUGCCUUCCGAGUUCCUUGGAACAGGACGCCUUAGAGGGUGAGAGCCCCGUACGGUUGGACACCAAGCCUGUGUAAAGCUCCUUCGACGAGUCGAGUAGUUUGGGAAUGCUGCUCUAAAUGGGAGGUAAAUUUCUUCUAAAGCUAAAUACCGGCCAGAGACCGAUAGCGCACAAGUAGAGUGAUCGAAAGAUGAAAAGUACUUUGAAAAGAGGGUUAAAUAGCACGUGAAAUUGUUGAAAGGGAAGCGUUUAUGACCAGACCUUGGCUAGGCGGAUCAUCCGGUGUUCUUCACCGGUGCACUUCGCCUAGCUUAGGCCAGCAUCGAUUCUCGCAGGGGGAUAAAGACCGUGGGAAAGUAGCUCUCUUCGGGGAGUGUUAUAGCCCUAGGUGUAAUACCUCUGCGGGGAUCGAGGUUCGCGCUUCGGCAUGGAUGCUGGCGUAAUGGUCAUCAACGACCCGUCUUGAAACACGGACCAAGGAGUCGAACAUUUAUGCGAGUGUUUGGGUGUCAAACCCUCACGCGUAAUGAAAGUGAACGGAGGUGAGAGCCCUUAAGGGUGCAUCAUCGACCGAUCCUGAUGUCUUCGGAUGGAUUUGAGUAAGAGCAUAACUGUUCGGACCCGAAAGAUGGUGAACUAUGCGUGGAUAGGGUGAAGCCAGAGGAAACUCUGGUGGAGGCUCGCAGCGGUUCUGACGUGCAAAUCGAUCGUCAAAUCUGCGCAUGGGGGCGAAAGACUAU